GAAAGGCGGGGCUCCUUCGGGACCUGUCGCCUCUGGAUGAGCCCGCGUCCGAUUAGCUAGUUGGUGGGGUAAUGGCCUACCAAGGCAACGAUCGGUAGCCGGCCUGAGAGGGUGAACGGCCACAUUGGGACUGAGACACGGCCCAGACUCCUACGGGAGGCAGCAGUGGGGAAUUUUGGGCAAUGGGGGAAACCCUGACCCAGCGACGCCGCGUGGAGGAUGACGGCCUUCGGGUUGUAAACUCCUGUCAGGUGGGAAGAAAAGCCAGUCGGAUAAUACCCGGCAGGAAUUGACGGUACCACCAAAGGAAGCCCCGGCUAACUCCGUGCCAGCAGCCGCGGUAAUACGGAGGGGGCAAGCGUUAUUCGGAUUUACUGGGCGUAAAGCGCACGUAGGUGGCAUCGUAAGUCAAAGGUGAAAGCCCUCGGCUCAACCGAGGAAUUGCCUUUGAAACUGCUUUGCUUGAGUCCGGGAGGGGGGAGCGGAAU
Molecule: ribosomal RNA, 488 nt
Filed under: uncultured bacterium
Lineage: Bacteria
Description: bacterial SSU rRNA
Rfam family: Bacterial small subunit ribosomal RNA
Source: RNAcentral